UACGAAGGGUGCAAGCGUUACUCGGAAUUACUGGGCGUAAAGCGUGCGUAGGUGGUUCGUUAAGUCUGAUGUGAAAUCCCGGGGCUCAACCCCGGAACUGCAUUGGAUACUGCCUUGCUAGAGUACUGGAGAGGAGACUGGAAUUUACGGUGUAGCAGUGAAAUGCGUAGAGAUCGUAAGGAAGGCCAGUGGCGAAGGCGAGUCUCUGGACAGUAACUGACGCUGAGGCACGAAGGCCAGGGGAGCAAACGGG
This 253-nucleotide ribosomal RNA is filed under the name uncultured bacterium. RNAcentral describes it as "partial 16S ribosomal RNA". It matches the Rfam family "Bacterial small subunit ribosomal RNA", at positions 524 to 776 of the family's 1533-position model. The record is from RNAcentral.